GAUGAACGCUGGCUACAGGCUUAACACAUGCAAGUCGUGGGGAAACGACGGGGAAGCUUGCUUCCCCGGGCGUCGACCGGCGCACGGGUGAGUAACGCGUAUCCAACCUGCCUCUGACUGAGGGAUAACCCGUCGAAAGUCGGCCUAAUACCUCAUGGCAUCGUCUGCGGGCAUCCAACGACGAUUAAAGAUUUCAUCGGUCAGAGAUGGGGAUGCGUCUGAUUAGCUAGUUGGCGGGGUAACGGCCCACCAAGGCGACGAUCAGUAGGGGUUCUGAGAGGAAGGUCCCCCACAUUGGAACUGAGACACGGUCCAAACUCCUACGGGAGGCAGCAGUGAGGAAUAUUGGUCAAUGGGCGAGAGCCUGAACCAGCCAAGUAGCGUGCAGGAUGACGGCCCUAUGGGUUGUAAACUGCUUUUAUGCGGGGAUAAAGUGAGGGACGUGUCCUUCAUUGCAGGUACCGCAUGAAUAAGGACCGGCUAAUUCCGUGCCAGCAGCCGCGGUAAUACGGAAGGUCCGGGCGUUAUCCGGAUUUAUUGGGUUUAAAGGGAGCGUAGGCCGUGGAUUAAGCGUGUUGUGAAAUGCAGGUGCUCAACGUCUGCACUGCAGCGCGAACUGGUCCACUUGAGUGUGCGCAACGCAGGCGGAAUUCGUCGUGUAGCGGUGAAAUGCUUAGAUAUGACGAAGAACUCCGAUUGCGAAGGCAGUUUGCGGGAGCACAACUGACGCUGAAGCUCGAAAGUGCGGGUAUCGAACAGG
Molecule: ribosomal RNA, 760 nt
Filed under: uncultured Prevotella sp.
Lineage: Bacteria; Pseudomonadati; Bacteroidota; Bacteroidia; Bacteroidales; Prevotellaceae
Description: bacterial SSU rRNA
Rfam family: Bacterial small subunit ribosomal RNA
Source: RNAcentral